RNAcentral lists this ribosomal RNA (440 nucleotides) under uncultured bacterium. Its description in RNAcentral is "partial 16S ribosomal RNA". It matches the Rfam family "Bacterial small subunit ribosomal RNA", at positions 338 to 795 of the family's 1533-position model. The record is from RNAcentral.
CCUACGGGAGGCAGCAGUAGGGAAUAUUGCUCAAUGGGGGAAACCCUGAAGCAGCAACGCCGCGUGGAGGAUGAAGGUUUUCGGAUUGUAAACUCCUUUUGUUAGAGAAGAUAAUGACGGUAUCUAACGAAUAAGCACCGGCUAACUCCGUGCCAGCAGCCGCGGUAAUACGGAGGGUGCAAGCGUUACUCGGAAUCACUGGGCGUAAAGGGCGCGUAGGCGGGAUAGCAAGUCAGGUGUGAAAUCGUAGGGCUUAACCAUAGAACUGCAUUUGAAACUGUUAUUCUAGAGUAUGGGAGAGGUAGGUGGAAUUCGUGGUGUAGCGGUAAAAUGCGUAGAGAUGAAGAGGAAUACUCAUUGCGAAGGCGACCUGCUAGAGCAUAACUGACGCUGAUGCGCGAAAGCGUGGGGAGCGAACAGGAUUAGAUACCCUAGUAGUC